GUAUGGAUAGACCUUCAAAAUCUGUGACAAGGAGAAUUAGAAAUUAUGGUCUAUUCCAUUCGUCGAGAAUUGCAUUAAGCACAUUAAUGCUGGGAUGAGCGCGAUUCAGUUAAUCAAACUGUAAAUUUUCUUUUCAACCUAAACCACAAAAAUCAGUAAACAGCUUAAUUGGUUAGCCAGUUUUACAAAUUUUUCCUUUUUUUUUAUUAAUGAGCUAAAUUCAUAUAUAACAAUUAACUUAAACUCAAAUCUUGGCAAUGAUACCUUUGAUAAUGGGCCUCUUUUGCCACAAUUUUUUUUAUUAUUUUAAUAUUUAUUGCUAUCAUUACCAUACACACGAACACACUAUACAUUACCAUUAUAUCAGGUUAAAUUACAAAUAAGGAUGCUGCAAAAUUACACGUGUUAGAAAAAUAUUUAUCUAAUAAAUUAUAAACUACAACAAGAUGGUUCAGUUAACCAUUGGUUUUGUAAAAGGAAAGCAAAACUGAACAGAUCUAUUUAGUUCAAUAUUUUUGUGAUUAAUUUUUCCAUUUUGAUUUGGAUUUUUUUUAUACUUUUCAGGUUCUCUUAGCCUAUCAUUUAUAUUAAUACAGAUUGAUCAUGGAUAAAUUAAAUUAUCUAAAUUUAAUCAAUUCUGAGUAAAUCCAUUUCCGAAAAAUAUUAUUGACCAAUAUAGCAUAUAGUCAAUGGAUCAAUCGAAUUUGAUUGUUGAGACUCUCCAUUUUUCAAUGAUAAGAGUGAAUAAAAUUUCUACACAACUCAUACCACUAAUUUGACCACCUAAAAUUCAAUUACAGCAUUGUUUCACCUUUGGCAGAAGAUCUUUAGAAUUUCAAGGAAACUAUUCUACAUAAUUUUCUACCAAACAAACACUAUAAUAAUAAUAAAAGCAAAUCUAACUUUUAACAGGCAAAGUACUUUUUGGUAAAUCAUUCCUCAAAACUGACCACAGGAGCAUAAAUUUGCACCAUUUGCAAAGCGAUCUAACUUUUUUGGUUUAGAAAAAAAAAUUUGCAUUCGUAUGACCACACUCACUCAAAGCAAAGUGAAAUCACGCUUAGAACUUAAAAGCAUCAGUACAUCCACAUAUCAAACAACCAAAAAAAAAACGAACCUGCUUGUUGUAAAUAUUGAAAUA
This 1141-nucleotide unclassified non-coding RNA is filed under the name Hevea brasiliensis (rubber tree). Lineage: Eukaryota; Viridiplantae; Streptophyta; Magnoliopsida; Malpighiales; Euphorbiaceae. The record is from RNAcentral.